Hordeum vulgare subsp. vulgare (domesticated barley) is the source of this 125-nucleotide non-coding RNA. The record is from Rfam. NCBI's taxonomy places the organism in Eukaryota, Viridiplantae, Streptophyta, Magnoliopsida, Poales, Poaceae.
UACAUACUCCCUCCGUCAAGACAUACUUGUCGUAGGAAUGGAUGUAUCUAGAUGUAUUNNAGUUCUAGAUACAUCCAUUUGUAUCCAUCUUUGUGACAAGUUAUUCCGGGCGGAGGGGGUAUGCA